UUGUCCCAUUAUGGGCCUAACCCUAACGAUCAUUAUUUCUCUCUUUGCUCUCCACUGAUCAUCAAAGAUUAAUUUGGUUUUGCUUUCCUAACAACCCAAUCAUGAUGAAGUGAUCUUUCAGACUCGAUCGGUUAACCCUAAUCUUAAUGAUAUAAUUCCCAUCUGUAACCAACCAAAUUCCCCAAAGAUCGAUCUUAUGUUUCACAACAAACAGACAAGGAGUCGGCGGCAUAACCCACCUGGUCUGCAAGAAGAUAACGACGAUGUUCAAAAGAAGCUGAUCCGAAGGUACACAGAAAGACAGAGGAGGCAAGAAAUGGCGGAUCUUUCUGCUUCUCUCAGAUCCUUGCUCCCUCUCGAUUACAUCAAGGGGAGGCGAUCGAUAUCAGAUCACUUAAAUGAGGCUGCCAAAUACAUCAAACAACUACAAAAUAGGAUCGAGGAACUGAGUGGUAAGGGGAACAAGCUAAGGAUGAUGUACAGCAUGAAUGUUGAUAACCCUGAGAUUUCAACCUUAACCAAAGCCACAACUGACCCACCAACGAAUGUUAUUACUGUUACUCGAAGUUUGGCUGGGGUUGAGGUUGUUUUCGGCACAGCUCAAAUGUUUCCUCUAUCAAAACUGCUGGAUUUACUAUUCAAAGAGGGCUUAAGAGUUCUUAAUUGUGUUUGCACAAAAGUAGAAGGAAGGCAGAUCUACAUCAUCCACACUGAGGUUUCUGAUCUAAUUGGGAUCGAACCCUCUGCAUUAAUUACAAAGGAAACUAGCAGAAUCAAUUCCUUCAAGAUACGGAAACUAGUUUCAGCUUGAAGACUCAUCGAAGAUAUAAAGGUGCUGAAUCUUCAAGGUUUCUCCAUUUAUGCAAAAGAAGUACGGAAGAGGAAAAAAAGAGAAAUUGUAUGCUAUAUAGAAAGGGAAGGGACUAGGCAAAAACUCGAAGACUAAGAUUGGAGUCUUUGUUCAAUGCUUUCCUUUCCACCAAAACAAGGAGUCUUCCAUUUUAUAUACCCACUAAUGUCCCAGAACAAGAUAUUGCAGACCAUCGAGAUCUGAUUCUUGGCCACCAAAUCACUUGAAGGGAGUGAUCCUGCCACAACCUACCACAAUGAGCAGAGGGAAGAAGCAUCAUAUUACACUGCCUUCUUCCGACAAUAAUCAUGAUGAUGAGAAGAAGAUCAUUCGUAGGGAAACUGAAAGGAACAGAAGGCUGCAAAUGACCUCCCUUUGUGAAUCACUCCGAUCUCUGCUGCCUUUUGAGCUCAUCAAGGGAAAGCGUUCAGUGUCCGAUCACAUAGGAGAGGCUGCGAGUUAUAUCAAAGAGUUGAAGGAGAAAACCCGAGAACUCGAAAUUAAGAGAGAUAUGCUCAAACAAAAUGCUAAUCCAAGUUUGCUUGGCGGUGCUGGAAUAGAUGAAAGCUCAAGCCAUUCAAAUGCUGUCAAAUGUGUAAGCAUUUCGCCUUUUCCGGGUGGCGUCGAAAUUUCUGCAGACAGUGGCUUGGAGGAAAACAGUUUUCCACUGUCAUUCUUGGUGGAAAUAUUGAUGCAAGAAGGAUGUAAUGUUGUAAGCUGUGUGUCCACCCAAGUGAAUGGGAGGCUAUACCACUCCAUUAAGUCUGAGGUACUAACAAAUAAGCAAUUUUUGACUAGGGUAGGGUUUCUUGGCCAGACAUUUAAUUAAAGUAAAAAUUAAAAAUUCAAUGAAUUUCUAGAUCAAUUCUUGAACAGGUGGAUAACUUGGAAAGCCUUGAUAUAGCUGGGCUGGAACAGAAACUGAAUGAUGCAAUCUUGUGGUGAAGGUGUAAGUUGGAGUGAUAUGGAUUUGCUUUGAGAGUGCUUUUUCUGCUUUGUGAGCACGAUCGAUCUGCAUAUGUAAUAUAAUUCUGGAUUGUUAGCUA
Prosopis cineraria is the source of this 1896-nucleotide RNA transcript. It is a transcript of the gene named transcription factor bHLH120-like, with no coding region annotated. The record is from RefSeq and is a predicted model, not a curated record. NCBI's taxonomy places the organism in Eukaryota, Viridiplantae, Streptophyta, Magnoliopsida, Fabales, Fabaceae. The transcript is spliced from 6 exons.